UACGUAGGGUGCGAGCGUUAAUCGGAAUUACUGGGCGUAAAGCGUGCGCAGGCGGUUCGUUGUGUCGGUGGUGAAAUCCCCGGGCUUAACCUGGGAAUGGCCAUGGAAACUGGCGAACUGGAGUCCGGAAGAGGCGAGUGGAAUUCCUGGUGUAGCGGUGAAAUGCGCAGAUAUCAGGAGGAACACCAAUGGCGAAGGCAGCUCGCUGGGACGUGACUGACGCUGAGACGCGAAAGCGUGGGGAGCAAACAGG
RNAcentral lists this ribosomal RNA (253 nucleotides) under uncultured bacterium. RNAcentral describes it as "partial 16S ribosomal RNA". It matches the Rfam family "Bacterial small subunit ribosomal RNA", at positions 524 to 776 of the family's 1533-position model. The record is from RNAcentral.